UACGAAGGGGGCUAGCGUUGUUCGGAUUUACUGGGCGUGAAGCGCGCGUAGGCGGGUCGCUAAGUCAGGGGUGAAAUGCCGAGGCUCAACCUCGGAACUGCCUUUGAUACUGACGACCUGGAGUUCGGGAGAGGUGAGUGGAAUUCCGAGUGUAGAGGUGAAAUUCGUAGAUAUUCGGAGGAACACCAGAAGCGAAGGCGGCUCACUGGCCCGAUACUGACGCUGAGGCGCGAAAGCGUGGGGAGCAAACAGG
This 253-nucleotide ribosomal RNA is filed under the name uncultured bacterium. RNAcentral describes it as "partial 16S ribosomal RNA". It matches the Rfam family "Bacterial small subunit ribosomal RNA", at positions 524 to 776 of the family's 1533-position model. The record is from RNAcentral.